AUUGAACGCUGGCGGCUGGCUUAACACAUGCAAGUCGAGCGGGGUGAUGGUGCUUGCACUAUCACUUAGCGGCGGACGGGUGAGUAAUGCUUAGGAAUCUGCCUAUUAGUGGGGGACAACAUCUCGAAAGGGAUGCUAAUACCGCAUACGUCCUACGGGAGAAAGCAGGGGAUCACUUGUGACCUUGCGCUAAUAGAUGAGCCUAAGUCGGAUUAGCUAGUUGGUGGGGUAAAGGCCUACCAAGGCGACGAUCUGUAGCGGGUCUGAGAGGAUGAUCGGCCACACUGGGACUGAGACACGGCCCAGACUCCUACGGGAGGCAGCAGUGGGGAAUAUUGGACAAUGGGGGGAACCCUGAUCCAGCCAUGCCGCGUGUGUGAAGAAGGCCUUAUGGUUGUAAAGCACUUUAAGCGAGGAGGAGGCUCUUUUGGUUAAUACCCAAGAUGAGUGGACGUUACUCGCAGAAUAAGCACCGGCUAACUCUGUGCCAGCAGCCGCCGUAC
This 503-nucleotide ribosomal RNA is filed under the name uncultured bacterium. RNAcentral's name for it is "partial 16S ribosomal RNA". It matches the Rfam family "Bacterial small subunit ribosomal RNA", at positions 30 to 523 of the family's 1533-position model. The record is from RNAcentral.